UGCCAGACACUGGGUGUGGUCGAG
This 24-nucleotide non-coding RNA is filed under the name Arabidopsis thaliana (thale cress). Lineage: Eukaryota; Viridiplantae; Streptophyta; Magnoliopsida; Brassicales; Brassicaceae. The record is from RNAcentral.